Molecule: ribosomal RNA, 451 nt
Filed under: uncultured bacterium
Lineage: Bacteria
Description: bacterial SSU rRNA
Rfam family: Bacterial small subunit ribosomal RNA
Source: RNAcentral
GUGGGGAAUUUUGCGCAAUGGGGGAAACCCUGACGCAGCAACGCCGCGUGAGUGAUGAAGGCCUUCGGGUUGUAAAGCUCUUUUAGUGGGGAAGAAGCCCUUCAGGACUAAUACUCCUGAGGUCUGACGGUACCCACAGAAAAAGUUCCGGCUAACUACGUGCCAGCAGCCGCGGUAAUACGUAGGGAGCAAGCGUUGUUCGGAAUCAUUGGGCGUAAAGAGCGCGUAGGCGGUUUAGUAAGUCCGAUGUGAAAUCCCAGAGCUUAACUCUGGAACUGCAUUGGAAACUGCUAGGCUUGAGUGCGGGAGAGGUGAGUGGAAUUCCCAGUGUAGAGGUGAAAUUCGUAGAUAUUGGGAGGAACACCGGUGGCGAAGGCGGCUCACUGGACCGCAACUGACGCUGAGGCGCGAAAGCUAGGGGAGCAAACGGGAUUAGAAACCCUAGUAGUCC